This 253-nucleotide ribosomal RNA is filed under the name uncultured bacterium. Its description in RNAcentral is "partial 16S ribosomal RNA". It matches the Rfam family "Bacterial small subunit ribosomal RNA", at positions 524 to 776 of the family's 1533-position model. The record is from RNAcentral.
UACGUAGGGUGCAAGCGUUAAUCGGAAUUACUGGGCGUAAAGCGUGCGCAGGCGGUUUUGUAAGUCUGUCGUGAAAGCCCCGGGCUUAACCUGGGAAUUGCGAUGGAGACUGCAAGGCUCGAAUCUGGCAGAGGGGGGUAGAAUUCCACGUGUAGCAGUGAAAUGCGUAGAGAUGUGGAGGAAUACCGAUGGCGAAGGCAGCCCCCUGGGAUAACACUGACGCUCAUGCACGAAAGCGUGGGGAGCAAACAGG